Molecule: long non-coding RNA, 1746 nt
Organism: Phascolarctos cinereus (koala)
Lineage: Eukaryota; Metazoa; Chordata; Mammalia; Diprotodontia; Phascolarctidae
Source: RefSeq, a predicted model, not a curated record
CUGCCGAGCACCGCCACUCCUCUCCUCUCCUGGGCUGACCCCAAAUGGGUCUCCCAGCCACUGCAGUCCCCUGCUGCACAGACAGCUAGCUGCCAGAGCACCCCUUUCUCUCGGGUAGGGAUCACUUCCCCAGCCCGCCCACAUGCACUCAAACCCCUGCCCCGAACCAAUGAGCAGUACUGCUCCUUUCAUCCUCGGCUCGUCUGUCCGCAGCAGCCAGCAUGCGGUAGGUACUCCACAGAGGCGUUCUGAUUGGCUUCCAGAGCCUUCCCCGCAGGCGACCCAGCCGAGGGGUUUAUAUUUGAUCCUUAGAGGUCACAGAGCAGUGUCUAAUUUUAUCUGGUACCAAAGCGUGCCUCACUGAGAUCGGUCAUACUAGAACCCUGCCGGGGGGGAAGCCUGCUGGCUCACUGCAUUACCACAGGGAGCGAAGAGAGGAUGGUUAGACCGGCGACCACAGCUGAGUCAACUCCACCGGGGAGCUCCAGCUUCCUUCCGCCCUGACCCGUCCCCAGGAAGAGAUGGGGGCCUCCCGGACCACAGGCAGCAGGAACGUCCCAGCAAUCUGACUUAUGACCCCCACCACUCGCUGAAUCCCCCGUGACUUCUCCAUCAUCAGACCGGCAAGUCUUUUCUCUGCAUCUCUGCUGGACACCAUACUGCCGCCCAGCUUUGCUUCCUAGAGACCAUCUCUACUCUGGGUUUGUGGGACCGUCCUCCCUCCCGGUUCUCCUCCCCCCCUGGCUGAGCGCUCCCUCUCGGGCUCCUCUCCCAAGCCUGAAUGAUGACUCCCAGACUCCGGCCUGAGCUUCCUCCAUCAUCCAUGGCCUACUGGUCACUGGUUCCAGAAUCACCUCCAAUCAACGUGUUCCCAACAGGACUUCCUGAUCCUGCCACAGCAGCAUCAUUCUUCUGACCACCCAGGGUCAGUCUGAACUCCCCACUCUCCUUCAGCCCACAUGUCCACUCGUGCUCCCGCCCCUUGCCAUUUCUACCUCCAUACCUUCUCUGGGGGUGACACCUUCUCUCCACCCAUCCACUCCACUGAGCCCAGCCCUCAUCACCUCUAGCCUACAUCACUGCCACAGCCUCCCCCUGCAUCUCCCUGCCUCCAGUGGGCCUCCACACUGCUGCCGGUGCUGCGACUUAGAGCUGAUCUGACCACGUCACUCCCCUACCUGGCCCCAACCUACCCUUCCAGCUUCCCUCUCGGUGAUCCCCACACAUCUUCUCUCCUUCCCCCCCAUCCCAUCUGUGCAUUUGCCCUGCCAUCCUAUGUGCUGGAGUGCACCUGCCCUCCCCUCUGCCUCAGGGCCUCUCUCAUCCUCCAAGAUGCAGCUCGAACACCACCUUCAGCAGGAAACUUGUCCUGGUGCCCUCCCUCUCAGACCACCUUGUGUUUAUCUGCAGUGGACCUCCAACUUCUCCAGACUGGCCUAGUUCUGUUGAGGGCACCACCAUGUUUCCAAUGGCCCAGAUUCACCACCGCAGUGUCAAACUCUACUCCCAUGUCCCAUCAAUGGCCACAUCUUAGAACCCUCUCUCCUGUCUGUCCUCUUUUGUCCCCUCCCAUGGCCAGCCCCCUUGGUCAGCCUGCCCUGGACCGCUCCUAGAGCCCUCUGCUCAACUGGGCUGCCUGUCUCCCCACCAGGCAGGCUGCCAAGAUUUUCCUUAAGCACAGGUGGGACCAUGUCACCACUCUGCCCUCUCAAUAAAGUGCAAAAUGGCCCCAGCAACAAAUAGAAA